Molecule: ribosomal RNA, 615 nt
Filed under: Staphylococcus aureus
Lineage: Bacteria; Bacillati; Bacillota; Bacilli; Caryophanales; Staphylococcaceae
Description: bacterial SSU rRNA
Rfam family: Bacterial small subunit ribosomal RNA
Source: RNAcentral
CCCGCACAAGCGGUGGAGCAUGUGGUUUAAUUCGAAGCAACGCGAAGAACCUUACCAAAUCUUGACAUCCUUUGACAACUCUAGAGAUAGAGCCUUCCCCUUCGGGGGACAAAGUGACAGGUGGUGCAUGGUUGUCGUCAGCUCGUGUCGUGAGAUGUUGGGUUAAGUCCCGCAACGAGCGCAACCCUUAAGCUUAGUUGCCAUCAUUAAGUUGGGCACUCUAAGUUGACUGCCGGUGACAAACCGGAGGAAGGUGGGGAUGACGUCAAAUCAUCAUGCCCCUUAUGAUUUGGGCUACACACGUGCUACAAUGGACAAUACAAAGGGCAGCGAAACCGCGAGGUCAAGCAAAUCCCAUAAAGUUGUUCUCAGUUCGGAUUGUAGUCUGCAACUCGACUACAUGAAGCUGGAAUCGCUAGUAAUCGUAGAUCAGCAUGCUACGGUGAAUACGUUCCCGGGUCUUGUACACACCGCCCGUCACACCACGAGAGUUUGUAACACCCGAAGCCGGUGGAGUAACCUUUUAGGAGCUAGCCGUCGAAGGUGGGACAAAUGAUUGGGGUGAAGUCGUAACAAGGUAGCCGUAUCGGAAGGUGCGGCUGGAUCACCUCCUUU